GUGUCAGCCGCCGCGGUAAUACGGAGGGUGCAAGCGUUAAUCGGAAUUACUGGGCGUAAAGCGCGCGUAGGUGGCUUGAUAAGCCGGUUGUGAAAGCCCCGGGCUCAACCUGGGAACGGCAUCCGGAACUGUCAGGCUAGAGUGCAGGAGAGGAAGGUAGAAUUCCCGGUGUAGCGGUGAAAUGCGUAGAGAUCGGGAGGAAUACCAGUGGCGAAGGCGGCCUUCUGGACUGACACUGACACUGAGGUGCGAAAGCGUGGGUAGCAAACAGGAUUAGAUACCCUGGUAGUCCACGCCGUAAACGAUGUCGACCAGCCGUUGGGUGCCUAGAGCACUUUGUGGCGAAGUUAACGCGAUAAGUCGACCGCCUGGGGAGUACGGCCGCAAGGUUAAAACUCAAAUGAAUUGACGGGGGCCCGCACAAGCGGUGGAGCAUGUGGUUUAAUUCGAUGCAACGCGAAGAACCUUACCUACCCUUGACAUCUACAGAAGCCGGAAGAGAUUCUGGUGUGCCUUCGGGAACUGUAAGACAGGUGCUGCAUGGCUGUCGUCAGCUCGUGUUGUGAAAUGUUGGGUUAAGUCCCGUAACGAGCGCAACCCUUGUCCUUAUUUGCCAGCGAGUAAUGUCGGGAACUCUAAGGAGACUGCCGGUGACAAACCGGAGGAAGGUGGGGACGACGUCAAGUCACCAUGGCCCUUACGGGUAGGGCUACACACGUGCUACAAUGSCCGGUACAAAGGGCUGCGAGCUCGCGAGAGUCAGCGAAUCCCUUAAAGCCGGUCUCAGUCCGGAUCGGAGUCUGCAACUCGACUCCGUGAAGUCGGAAUCGCUAGUAAUCGUGAAUCAGAAUGUCACGGUGAAUACGUUCCCGGGCCUUGCACACACCGCCCGUC
Molecule: ribosomal RNA, 894 nt
Filed under: uncultured bacterium
Lineage: Bacteria
Description: bacterial SSU rRNA
Rfam family: Bacterial small subunit ribosomal RNA
Source: RNAcentral